UACGAAGGGGGCUAGCGUUGCUCGGAAUUACUGGGCGUAAAGGGCGCGUAGGCGGAUGUUUAAGUCAGGGGUGAAAUCCUGGAGCUCAACUCCAGAACUGCCUUUGAUACUGAAGAUCUUGAGUUCGGGAGAGGUGAGUGGAACUGCGAGUGUAGAGGUGAAAUUCGUAGAUAUUCGCAAGAACACCAGUGGCGAAGGCGGCUCACUGGCCCGAUACUGACGCUGAGGCACGAAAGCGUGGGGAGCAAACAGG
Molecule: ribosomal RNA, 253 nt
Filed under: uncultured bacterium
Lineage: Bacteria
Description: partial 16S ribosomal RNA
Rfam family: Bacterial small subunit ribosomal RNA
Source: RNAcentral